This is a long non-coding RNA of Mus musculus (house mouse), 1124 nucleotides long. RefSeq annotates it as predicted gene, 46832. Lineage: Eukaryota; Metazoa; Chordata; Mammalia; Rodentia; Muridae. The record is from RefSeq and is a predicted model, not a curated record. The transcript is spliced from 3 exons.
CCGAACGAGUUCCCAAAUCGCCCUGCAGAUCAUUAGAGAAGGAAACUCCCAAAGACUGUAACUGAGGUAGCUUGCAAUGUUGCCUUGAGGACAGGAGCUGUGUUUCCAGCUUGUCCCUGGGAUAGAGCAGCCUGUAACCUGGGGUUCUUACCAACAGAGGGGGACAGCGAAACCCACCAUCCAGGGUUCAUGAACUCCUAAAACUGGAGAGUUGGAAGGGAUGGAAAGAAUCAUGGCAAUGGCUUACAUCACCCUGUCCCUUACAUGUCUCUCCUGCUCUUCACCAUGGCGCUCCUGAGAGAACCGGUGUCUUUCCUACUGUGCCCUUCCUCCAGCCUUGGGCAGGCUAAACAGACCUUGAGUGCUUGCCACAAUGGUUUUAAGAUCUAAAUGGAUCUGGCCUCUGCUGCACUUGCUAUUUCCUACAGGAGCUUUGCAGAGCAGACUGCCUGCUGAACUUGCUGAAACAAAGGACAGGUAACCCAGUUCAUCCACAUCUGCUGGACAACCGUUACAUCCUACUAUUUGAAACCAUGAAGCAUAACUCAGAGAAGAUAGAAACAAAAUUGUGUUUUAUGUUACAUUGCCAGGGACAAAACUCUAUCAAAUGAUAAUGGCAUGUAGUUCCCUCUUCCAUGUGUCAGAAGCCAUGUUAAAUCAACAAGCUGUUUUCAUUCAAUAUUUAUACUGUCCUAUAAUGUUCAUACAAUGUUCAUACAAUGUUCAUACAAUCCUGUAACUGGGUUAACAUGUUGUUUUAAUUUCCUAUUGCUGUUCUACAAGGUAAGCUCAAUUCAGGGCUUGGAUGUAACACAAAUCACUUAAAGUUUUGGAGAUCGCCGGGCAUGGUGGCGCAUGCCUUUAAUCCUAGCACUCGGGAGGCAGAGGCAGGUGGAUUUCUGAGAUCAAGGCCAGCCUGGUCUAGAGUGAGUUCCAGGACAGCCAGGGAUAUACAGAGAAACCCUGUCUCAAAAAAACCACAAAAAAAAAAAAAAAAAAAAAAAAAAAGUUUUGGAGAUCACAGUAGGUCUGCAGUCUGUAUUCUUUCUACGCAGUAGUUCUCAACCUUCCUAAUGCUUUGAUUUAAUACCAUAUCUCAUGUGGUGACCACCAACCAUAAAAUC